UACGAAGGGUGCAAACGUUGCUCGGAAUUAUUGGGCGUAAAGCGCACGUAGGCGGCAUUGCAAGUCGGAUGUGAAAUCUUAUGGCUUAACCAUAAAAGUGCAUCCGAAACUGCAGUGCUUGAGUACUUAAGAGGAUCGCGGAAUUCCCGGUGUAGAGGUGAAAUUCGUAGAUAUCGGGAGGAACACCAGUGGCGACGGCGGCGAUCUGGGAAGAUACUGACGCUGAGGUGCGAAAGCGUGGGGAGCAAACAGG
This 253-nucleotide ribosomal RNA is filed under the name uncultured bacterium. Its description in RNAcentral is "partial 16S ribosomal RNA". It matches the Rfam family "Bacterial small subunit ribosomal RNA", at positions 524 to 776 of the family's 1533-position model. The record is from RNAcentral.